Molecule: ribosomal RNA, 253 nt
Filed under: uncultured bacterium
Lineage: Bacteria
Description: partial 16S ribosomal RNA
Rfam family: Bacterial small subunit ribosomal RNA
Source: RNAcentral
UACGGAGGGGACUAGCGUUGUUCGGAAUUACUGGGCGUAAAGCGCGCGUAGGCGGAUUUGCAAGUUGGGGGUGAAAGCCCGAGGCUCAACCUCGGAACUGCCCUCGAUACUGCAAAUCUCGAGUCCGAGAGAGGUGAGUGGAAUUCCUAGUGUAGAGGUGAAAUUCGUAGAUAUUAGGAAGAACACCAGUGGCGAAGGCGGCUCACUGGCUCGGUACUGACGCUGAGGCGCGAAAGCUAGGGGAGCAAACAGG